RNAcentral lists this unclassified non-coding RNA (337 nucleotides) under soil metagenome. Its description in RNAcentral is "partial contains 5.8S ribosomal RNA, internal transcribed spacer 2, and large subunit ribosomal RNA". The stretch from base 1 to 120 matches the Rfam family "5.8S ribosomal RNA", at positions 35 to 154 of the family's 154-position model. The record is from RNAcentral.
GAUGAAGAACGCAGCGAAAUGCGAUAAGUAGUGUGAAUUGCAGAAUUCAGUGAAUCAUCGAAUCUUUGAACGCACAUUGCGCCCCUUGGUAUUCCAUGGGGCAUGCCUGUUCGAGCGUCAUUUGUACCUUCAAGCUCUGCUUGGUGUUGGGCGUUUGUCUCGCCUCUGCGUGUAGACUCGCCUUAAAACAAUUGGCAGCCGGCGUAUUGAUUUCGGAGCGCAGUACAUCUCGCGCUUUGCACUCAUAACGACGACGUCCAAAAGUACAUUUUUACACUCUUGACCUCGGAUCAGGUAGGGAUACCCGCUGAACUUAAGCAUAUCAAUAAGCGGAGGA